UACGGGGGGAGCAAGCGUUGUUCGGAUUUACUGGGCGUAAAGGGCGCGUAGGCGGUCGUGACAAGUCACUUGUGAAAUCUCCGGGCUUAACUCGGAAAGGUCAAGUGAUACUGUCGGACUAGAGUACAGAAGGGGCAACUGGAAUUCUCGGUGUAGCGGUGAAAUGCGUAGAUAUCGGAAGGAACGCCGGUGGCGAAGGCGGGUUGCUGGGCUGAUACUGACGCUGAGGCGCGAAAGCCAGGGGAGCGAACGGG
Molecule: ribosomal RNA, 254 nt
Filed under: uncultured bacterium
Lineage: Bacteria
Description: partial 16S ribosomal RNA
Rfam family: Bacterial small subunit ribosomal RNA
Source: RNAcentral